UACAGAGGUCUCAAGCGUUGUUCGGAUUCAUUGGGCGUAAAGGGUGCGUAGGCGGCGCGGUAAGUCGGGUGUGAAAUCUCGGGGCUUAACUCCGGAACUGCAUUCGAUACUGCCGUGCUUGAGGACUGGAGAGGAGACUGGAAUUUACGGUGUAGCGGUGAAAUGCGUAGAUAUCGUAAGGAAGACCAGUGGCGAAGGCGGGUCUCUGGACAGUUCCUGACGCUGAGGCACGAAGGUCAGGGGAGCAAACGGG
This 253-nucleotide ribosomal RNA is filed under the name uncultured bacterium. RNAcentral describes it as "partial 16S ribosomal RNA". It matches the Rfam family "Bacterial small subunit ribosomal RNA", at positions 524 to 776 of the family's 1533-position model. The record is from RNAcentral.